This 492-nucleotide ribosomal RNA is filed under the name uncultured bacterium. RNAcentral's name for it is "partial 16S ribosomal RNA". It matches the Rfam family "Bacterial small subunit ribosomal RNA", at positions 29 to 507 of the family's 1533-position model. The record is from RNAcentral.
AGUGAACGCUGGCGGUAGGCCUAACACAUGCCAGUCGAACGGCAGCACAGUAAGAGCUUGCUCUUACGGGUGGCGAGUGGCGGACGGGUGAGGAAUACAUCGGAAUCUACUUUUUCGGGGGGGAUAACGUAGGGAAACUUACGCUAAUACCGCAUACGACCUACGGGUGAAAGCAGGGGAUCUUCGGACCUUGCGCGAUUGAAUGAGCCGAUGUCGGAUUAGCUAGUUGGCGGGGUAAAGGCCCACCAAGGCGACGAUCCGUAGCUGGUCUGAGAGGAUGAUCAGCCACACUGGAACUGAGACACGGUCCAGACUCCUACGGGAGGCAGCAGUGGGGAAUAUUGGACAAUGGGCGCAAGCCUGAUCCAGCCAUACCGCGUGGGUGAAGAAGGCCUUCGGGUUGUAAAGCACUUUUGUUGGGAAAGAAGAGCAGCAGGUUAAUACCCCGCUGUUCUGACGGUACCCAAAGAAUAAGCACCGGCUAACUUCGUG